Molecule: transfer RNA, 74 nt
Filed under: bacterium
Lineage: Bacteria
Description: tRNA-Val
Rfam family: tRNA
About the family: Transfer RNA (tRNA) molecules are approximately 80 nucleotides in length. Their secondary structure includes four short double-helical elements and three loops (D, anti-codon, and T loops).
Source: RNAcentral
GGGUACUUAGCUCAGCUGGUUAGAGCAUUUGCUCGACACGCAAAAGGUCGCAGGUUCGACUCCUGCAGUGCCCA